UACAGAGGUGGCAAGCGUUGUUCGGAAUUACUGGGCGUAAAGGGCGCGUAGGCGGCCUACUAAGUCAGACGUGAAAUCCCCCGGCUUAACCUGGGAACUGCGUCUGAUACUGGAAGGCUUGAGUAUGGGAGAGGGAUGUAGAAUUCCAGGUGUAGCGGUGAAAUGGGUAGAUAUCAGGAGGAACACCGGUGGCGAAGGCGGGUCUCUGGGCCGAUACUGACGCUGAGGAGCGAAAGCGUGGGGAGCGAACAGG
RNAcentral lists this ribosomal RNA (253 nucleotides) under uncultured bacterium. RNAcentral describes it as "partial 16S ribosomal RNA". It matches the Rfam family "Bacterial small subunit ribosomal RNA", at positions 524 to 776 of the family's 1533-position model. The record is from RNAcentral.